GCGGCAGGCCUAACACAUGCAAGUCGAACGGUAACAGAAAGCAGCUUGCUGCUUUGCUGACGAGUGGCGGACGGGUGAGUAAUGUCUGGGAAACUGCCUGAUGGAGGGGGAUAACUACUGGAAACGGUAGCUAAUACCGCAUAACGUCGCAAGACCAAAGAGGGGGACCUUCGGGCCUCUUGCCAUCGGAUGUGCCCAGAUGGGAUUAGCUUGUUGGUGGGGUAACGGCUCACCAAGGCGACGAUCCCUAGCUGGUCUGAGAGGAUGACCAGCCACACUGGAACUGAGACACGGUCCAGACUCCUACGGGAGGCAGCAGUGGGGAAUAUUGCACAAUGGGCGCAAGCCUGAUGCAGCCAUGCCGCGUGUAUGAAGAAGGCCUUCGGGUUGUAAAGUACUUUCAGCGGGGAGGAAGGGAGUAAAGUUAAUACCUUUGCUCAUUGACGUUACCCGCAGAAGAAGCACCGGCUAACUCCGUGCCAGCAGCCGCGGUAAUACGGAGGGUGCGAGCGUUAAUCGGAAUUACUGGGCGUAAAGCGCACGCAGGCGGUUUGUUAAGUCAGAUGUGAAAUCCCCGGGCUCACCCCUGGGAACUGCAUCUGAUACUGGCAAGCUUGAGUCUCGUAGAGGGGGGUAGAAUUCCAGGUGUAGCGGUGAAAUGCGUAGAGAUCUGGAGGAAUACCGGUGGCGAAGGCGGCCCCCUGGACGAAGACUGACGCUCAGGUGCGAAAGCGUGGGGAGCAAACAGGAUUAGAUACCCUGGUAGUCCACGCCGUAAACGAUGUCGACUUGGAGGUUGUGCCCUUGAGGCGUGGCUUCCGGAGCUAACGCGUUAAGUCGACCGCCUGGGGAGUACGGCCGCAAGGUUAAAACUCAAAUGAAUUGACGGGGGCCCGCACAAGCGGUGGAGCAUGUGGUUUAAUUCGAUGCAACGCGAAGAACCUUACCUGGUCUUGACAUCCACAGAACUUUCCAGAGAUGGAUUGGUGCCUUCGGGAACUGUGAGACAGGUGCUGCAUGGCUGUCGUCAGCUCGUGUUGUGAAAUGUUGGGUUAAGUCCCGCAACGAGCGCAACCCUUAUCCUUUGUUGCCAGCGGUCCGGCCGGGAACUCAAAGGAGACUGCCAGUGAUAAACUGGAGGAAGGUGGGGAUGACGUCAAGUCAUCAUGGCCCUUACGACCAGGGCUACACACGUGCUACAAUGGCGCAUACAAAGAGAAGCGACCUCGCGAGAGCAAGCGGACCUCAUAAAGUGCGUCGUAGUCCGGAUUGGAGUCUGCAACUCGACUCCAUGAAGUCGGAAUCGCUAGUAAUCGUGGAUCAGAAUGCCACGGUGAAUACGUUCCCGGGCCUUGUACACACCGCCCGUCACACCAUGGGAGUGGGUUGCAAAAGAAGUAGGUAGCUUAACCUUCGGGAGGGCGCUUACCACUUUGUGAUUCAUGACUGGGGUGAAAUC
Molecule: ribosomal RNA, 1459 nt
Filed under: uncultured organism
Description: SSU rRNA
Rfam family: Bacterial small subunit ribosomal RNA
Source: RNAcentral